UUCCAAAAGAGGAAGUGUGUGUGAAGUGAGCCAUCUUUGACACGGUGCUGGUACAAAAGGAAGUUCCGUAGGAGUAGGUAUGGGCCUCGUUGUUGCGUUACCGACGUAGUUCGAAGGAGAAAGACCGGUAGGAUCGACGGAGCUAGUGGCGGUGGAAGAGGCCACAGCUACCUUCUAGGUUGCCCUCGACGUAGGGCUGGCUCUCCCGACGCGACGAGAGGAAGUUCCGGCUGUAGUGUCAGCUGGGCCGCUUAGCGGAGCGUAGUACCGUCGUUGCUGUGGUACUGACAACAGACACCUCGCCGUAGUGGACGUCGGCGGCCUGUCCGGUGCGGUAGUUCGAGCUGGAGGCGUUGUUAAUAGGUCGAAGUCUUCUCCUAAUAAUGGAACCAGGACCACUGUGGCUUUUGGUGAGCGACACGCCUGUCCAUAGAAGAAGCGACGAACGAGAGGCUGUAGAGUACGUAGAGCUGGAGUCGACCUUAUAAAAAGAGCCUCUACGUUUCCGGUACGGCCCCAAGGACCCGAGAGAGGCCUCAAACUCCAUCGAGUUGGAGAGGUUGUACGUACCCAAAAGUACCGUCUCACGGAGGAGUCGAUCCGUUGGAGAGGUUUGAUCAUGUUGAACUGUACGUGCGGUUAAUACUGUGACUAGAUGUGUGUUUACUAUAUAGAACCGAUCGUAGAGAACCGAACGAUCUCGUAGAUUUGUACCCGCCCUAGUUGGAGUCACCUCAGUAACUGACCCAGGUAUUCCAGUUGCGGGAAGGGUUAAACCAACACGACCGAUACAAAAGUACACCAGAAUAAUUCUCAUUACAAAGUACCAGUGAACAUGUGGUCUUGGAAUGUCAAGAACUCCUCGAACUGGAGAGAAUACUGGGAAAGGUACCCGGCAGGCGUAGGUUGACCAAAACCCUACAUUGAUCGGAGUUUUCCGAUGUGAAUGUCCCAACACUUAAUAGUCCGUGCAAAGGACUGCUCAACCCGUUGAACUGGAACAACCUCUGAAAACUGCAAGAUCCUUUGUUGUAGGUUCCUUACUAUGGAUGUUGGGACUUUUUAUACACAUUGAAUGCCAGAGAACUAGAGUCGAAGUUGUUGUAGCCGCCCCCGUAUUGUCUCCACUAUCUAUCCUAUGGAUUAACAAGAGCCUUUUUAAACGUUCUUAACCCAGAUUACCUACGGUUGUAGUGACCGUGUUGUAAUGUUAAACACUGUUUGGACUGAUCGAAUAUGCACGAAUUACAGGUACCGUUGGUCAACUCACCAAGUCACGGGCACCUCUAACCGUGCGAACGUUUAAACUGGAUGAAUUUGGAACCUCUGUUGUGGAACUCGCCAAGUCACGGACGUCUCUAACCGUGCGAAUGUUCAAACUGAGUGAAUAUGGAACCUGCGUUGUUGAACCACACUAUAGUCUUCUGGUAAAACGACCAAACUACUUAAAUCUCAGAGAACUGAAUAGGAUAUUAUUAAACCUACAAUAACACCUGAGUGUAACCUAUGGAGGCAAGUUGAACCUUAGCCGUACCAAAAGUAGAACAGUAAAUCCAGGGGUUAAAGGAUUUACCGAAGCAACCGUCUUUUCGUGGUUCUAGGAAGUAUAAAGUUUGUGUACGGAUCAACCAUUCUAGGGUAUAACCAAAACCUGAUGGAAAAGACUACGAUGUAUAAACCUGUAGAGGAACUUGGUAGAAUCGCCGUUAAACGGUGAGUUAGAACUCAAGUCCAGUCACUAAUUUGAAAAUUACGUCGGUUUAGACGAUUGACCAAACUAUGGGUUCAAUAGUUCUUGUUAACUCUAUAACCUGUAUAGAUCUUUAAGAAAUUUACCGAAACACGGUUUAAAGGUUCGAGGUGUUGAUGCCCGCCGUCAAGGAAAAAGGUUAAGAUAUUGACCCUGAUAAGGCUUUUGUUAAACAGCUUACGUUUUUAACGCCCAAAACCUAGAAAGCUUGUUAGACGAAAGUUUCCUUGAAGGACUAACACCAUAUUUUCUCGAUUUUGUUCCCUUGGGCAGAUCGUUGUUGAGAAGUUUUCAGUCUAGAGACUCUAUAAAGUCAAACUCCUAGUGAUCAAAGGAAGAUUCGUUGUUGGUAAAAAGUUCACCUAAAGGAAACAAGGAUGCUGUUACAGGUUCCGACCAAAAGGAGCUAGAUUGAGUUUUGUUUAAGUGACCUCUCAAUGGGCCUACCUAAUCACUUCGGUACGGAUCAAACCAAUACGAUGCCAAUUCUAGUUUGUUUAAAAGUCCAGUGUAAGGUCAACUUUAUUACCCUGAAGUUCUACAAGCAUAGGACCUAGACAGGUUAUUAUUGAAAAGACCCCGGUAUGGUUUUACAAAUCUUUUUAACUUUCGAAACUGAGUGUGUCGAUGAAGAUUAUUAUGUAGUAAACUAUUAGAAAAACUACUUCCUAUAGCAUCGAGAUGUAGGUACAGGAAAUCAAACAGAUUACUAUCGAAGAACCACCACUAUUUUCCCGUCGACGAACUCAUGUCCCUCUUAUGAGAUAUGAACUACUCGUAACUAAAUAGAACGUUAUCAAAUUAGCCUCUUUAGGGCCUCCUGGAAUGGAGGGAGCAACCUGAGUAUUUAAACUUAAAUAGUAGUUUGAACAACUCACCUUUAUAAGGUAUAUUCUAACCGUUGGAAGCGAGUGACCUCAGAGAACUAGAGAGUUUCUUGUUUGAACGACCACUUUAAGGCCUUCCGAAUAGUCUAAACUGUAUGAACUCGACAGAGUUAAACAGUAUGUUAUUAGACAGUCCUUCUUAUGGAAGUCCCGUAGUUGAGCUGUAGGAGCUCUGUUUACUAGGUCGAAGGUACAUGUAACCAUUAGGACCAGAAACACCUGAAGGUCAAAGUUCCGUUACGGGUGCAGGAGGAUCUCUGGGUGGGUCGUUACCUCUAAGUCGUUCUACCAAACUUAUACCGAGCAGAGUUUACCUAAAAGAAUAUCCUAAUUAACAACCAAAACACCACCCACGAACCUACCAUAAAACGCCCGAAGAUAAGUACUUCUCUACCUCCAUAUGAAUAAAACCCCAUAAGCUGUUCGAUAUACUGUCUAACAUACAGUAAAGACAACAAUGAGCGGUUUUUUCCAAGCCCUUGUGCCCGAUUUUAAUUCCUUCUUGACGGCUUGCAUGGUGGUAAGCAUAUUCCCCUUACUUCAUGAAGAACGAUCAUAUAAAAUAACAGUUUGGGAAACAGUAAGUCUUGAAUAACAACAUAACAUAACAUAGAAACGUGUAGCCAACACGUACGGUGUACCAAAGGCGAGAGUAUAUUAUUUUACAUAGGACGAUAAUGAUGGGUAAUUCACACGUGAUAAUAAACCUUAAUGAACCGAAAGAACACGACGAACAACGAUUUACAACAAAACUUAGUACUCUACAUACCUGACCAAAACGAUUUCAUACAAGGAAUCAAGAAAGAUACUUUGCCUAAAAGUAUAUACGUGUUGAAGACUAGCGAGCAGCAGAGGAGGUCUUAUCAUGUUUGGCUAUCUUAGCCACAUAGUGUUUAUUAUCUGUGACUGACUUGACUGGGCAGGCAACUAAAAUCCUAAUAUAUACACUUUUCAUUAUAUCUUUGGGCGACGGGCUAGUACUAAUCUACUUCAAAUACCACUUCCUCCGUAUUCGCACCCUGAGAUAGAGCGGAGACCAUCAGUACGGGUGUAGCAGAACCUAGAGGUGAUCGAAGCACAAUCUCGUUAAGAUCCACGUGUAGCUAGACAAUACGUGUUCGUUAGUUUUUCCGUGUUAUAUGUUAUAGUUCUAAACAAUUGUUCCAAGUGGUUGUAUCGACGUAGGUAUUCCGUAUUGAUACCUACGAGGUGGGUACAUGAUUUGACUGUAUCAUGUUACUAUUGUUCGUAUACCUCCGAUAGUCUGUUGUGAGGUUGGUGGCGUGAUACUGUCCAGGCCGGUAGGGACGAUAGCAGCAGCCCGGUAAGGGGAGCACUAAAGACAGAUAAGAUGGUAGAAUACAGAUCAGUUAAAUCGAUGGGCGCCACGGGAAUGUAUUAUAUAAAAAAGCUGUUUUCGGAAUGUAUUAUACAUCCGGACCCAAUGUGUAUAAGUUGAGUUUGUGUAUUAGCAGGCGAUUAUGUUCAGGUUACAUCAGAUUAUGCAUGUGUAUUAUAAGAUGUAUAAAUAAAAUUGUGAGGU
RNAcentral lists this ribosomal RNA (4180 nucleotides) under Triticum aestivum (bread wheat). RNAcentral describes it as "partial small subunit ribosomal RNA". Lineage: Eukaryota; Viridiplantae; Streptophyta; Magnoliopsida; Poales; Poaceae. The record is from RNAcentral.